Molecule: ribosomal RNA, 492 nt
Filed under: uncultured bacterium
Lineage: Bacteria
Description: partial 16S ribosomal RNA
Rfam family: Bacterial small subunit ribosomal RNA
Source: RNAcentral
AGUGAACGCUGGCGGUAGGCCUAACACAUGCAAGUCGAACGGCAGCACAGUAAGAGCUUGCUCUUACGGGUGGCGAGUGGCGGACGGGUGAGGAAUACAUCGGAAUCUACUUUUUCGUGGGGGAUAACGUGGGGAAACUUACGCUAAUACCGCAUACGACCUACGGGUGAAAGCAGGGGAUCUUCGGACCUUGCGCGAUUGAAUGAGCCGAUGUCGGAUUAGCUAGUUGGCGGGGUAAAGGCCCACCAAGGCGACGAUCCGUAGCUGGUCUGAGAUGAUGAUCAGCCACACUGGAACUGAGACACGGUCCAGACUCCUACGGGAUGCAGCAGUGGGGAAUAUUGGACAAUGGGCGCAAGCCUGAUCCAGCCAUACCGCGUGGGUGAAGAAGGCCUUCGGGUUGUAAAGCCCUUUUGUUGGGAAAGAAAAGCAGCAGGUUAAUACCCCGCUGUUCUGACGGUACCCAAAGAAUAAGCACCGGCUAACUUCGUG